This 301-nucleotide ribosomal RNA is filed under the name uncultured bacterium. RNAcentral describes it as "partial 16S ribosomal RNA". It matches the Rfam family "Bacterial small subunit ribosomal RNA", at positions 509 to 807 of the family's 1533-position model. The record is from RNAcentral.
CAGCCGCCGCGGUAAUACGAAGGGGGCUAGCGUUGUUCGGAUUUACUGGGCGUAAAGCGCACGUAGGCGGACUUUUAAGUCAGGGGUGAAAUCCCGGGGCUCAACCCCGGAACUGCCUUUGAUACUGGGAGUCUUGAGUUCGAGAGAGGUGAGUGGAAUUGCGAGUGUAGAGGUGAAAUUCGUAGAUAUUCGCAGGAACACCAGUGGCGAAGGCGGCUCACUGGCUCGAUACUGACGCUGAGGUGCGAAAGCGUGGGGAGCAAACAGGAUUAGAUACCCCAGUAGUCCCUGUCUCUUAUAC